Molecule: long non-coding RNA, 1923 nt
Organism: Corvus hawaiiensis (hawaiian crow)
Lineage: Eukaryota; Metazoa; Chordata; Aves; Passeriformes; Corvidae
Exons: 3
Source: RefSeq, a predicted model, not a curated record
CCUCCUGCUGUCCCACCUGCCCCGCUCCCCCUCGGAAUUCCCUGCUCCCAGCUCCAGGAAUCCCUGGGGAAACCGGGAGAGACUGCAUGGAAAGGGUGCUGUGUUCUGGAUCCCUGGGAGCUGAGCCUGAGGGAUGGAGCGGGGUCGAGAGACUUUGGGAUCAUUCCGGUGGUUUUUGAGCGGAUUUUCGGGGUUUGGGAUCCAUAGGGAUGGAGCGGGGUCGUGCCGGUGUCUCGUUGAGGUGAUUGUUUGGGAUGAAGGAGUUUGGGAUCCACAGGGAUGGAGCGAGGUCAUCCCAGUGGUUUAUGAGCAGAGUUUUGGGGUUUGGGAUCCACAGGGAUGGAGUGGGGUCGUGCCGGUGUCAUCUUGAGCAGAUUGUUUGGGAUGAAGGAGUUUGGGAUCCAUAGGGAUGGAGCAGGAUGGUGCCAGUGUCAUCUUGAGCAGAUUUUGGGGAAUGAAAGAGUUUGGGAUCCACAGGGAUGGAGCAGGAUGGUGCCGGUGUCAUCUUGAGCAGAUUGUUUGAGAUGAAGCAGUUUGGGAUCCGUGGCAAUGAGGCAGGAUUGUGUUGAGCAGAUUCCCAGAGAGUGACGGAAUUUGGGGUCAAGGAUGGAGUUGGAUCAUGGCAAGGUUGUGUGGAACAGAUCCCUGGAGAGCGAUGGAGUUUGGGGUCCAUGGGAACGGAGCAGGAUCGUGUCGAGCAGAUUCCUGGAGAGUGACGGAAUUUGGGAUCAUGCCGAGGUUGUGCUGAGCAGAUCCCUGGGGGUGAAGGAGUUCAGGAUCAUGGCAGCGUUGUGUUGAGCAGAUUCCUGGAGAGUGAUCAAGUUUGGGAUCAGGGAUGGAGCGAGAUCAGCCAAGGUUGUGCUGAGCAGAUCCCUGUGGGAUGAAGGACUUUGGGAUCACUCCAGUGUUGUGCUGAGCAGAUCCCUGUGGGAUGAAGGAUUUUGGGAUCAGGGAUGGAGCAGGAUCAUGCCGAGGAUGCACUGAGCAGAUCCCUGUGGGAUGAAGGAUUUUGGGACCAUUCUGGUCUUGCACUGAGCGGAUCCCUGUGGGGUGAAGGAGUUUGGGAUCAGGGAUGGAGCGGGAUCAGCCAAGGUUGUGCUGAGCAGAUCCCUGUGGAGUGAAGGAUUUGGGAUCACUCCAGUGUUGUUUUGAGCGGAUCCCUGUGGGGUGAAGGAGUUUGGGAUCAGGGAUGGAGCAGGAUCAUGCCGAGGUUGUGCUGAGCAGAUCCCUGUGGGGUGAAGGAGUUUGGGAUCAGGGAUGGAGCAGGAUCAUGCUGAGAUUGCACUGAGCAGAUCCCUGUGGGAUGAAGGAGUUUGGGAUCACUCCAGUGUUGUUUUGAGUGGAUCCCUGUGGGGUGAAGGAGUUUGGGAUCAGGGAUGGAAUGGGAUCAUGCCGAGGAUGCACUGAGCAGAUCCCUGUGGGGUGAAGGAGUUUGGGAUCAGGGAUGGAGCGGGAUCAUGCCGAGGUUGCACUGAGCGGAUCCCUGUGGGGUGAAGGACUUUGGGAUCACUCCAGUGUUGUGCUGAGCAGAUCCCUGUGGGAUGAAGGAUUUUGGGAUCAGGGAUGGAGCAGGAUCAUGCCGAGGAUGCACUGAGCAGAUCCCUGUGGGAUGAAGGAUUUUGGGACCAUUCUGGUCUUGCACUGAGCGGAUCCCUGUGGGGUGAAGGAGUUUGGGAUCAGGGAUGGAGCGGGAUCAGCCAAGGUUGUGCUGAGCAGAUCCCUGUGGGGUGAAGGAGUUUGGGAUCACUCCAGUGUUGUGCUGAGCAGAUCCCUGUGGGAUGAAGGAUUUUGGGAUCGUUCUGGUCUUGCACUGAGCAGAUCCCUGUGGGGUGAAGGACUUUGGGGCCGCCGCAGCUCUCGCUUCCGGAGCCUCCCCGGGAUCCCGAGGCUCCUGCUGGAUCGGGAUCCCCUCUUUUCCCCCUC